Long non-coding RNA from Ruditapes philippinarum (Manila clam), 576 nucleotides. RefSeq lists it as uncharacterized. NCBI's taxonomy places the organism in Eukaryota, Metazoa, Mollusca, Bivalvia, Venerida, Veneridae. The record is from RefSeq and is a predicted model, not a curated record. The transcript is spliced from 3 exons.
CUUUGUUAGUUACGCAUGCGCUGUUGAAUAUUAAGUGUGUCCUUAUCGCAAUGGCGGAGUUAAGCCCUGGAAUUCAAUCUUCGUGAAAAAUAUUUCAGAAAAUUAAGCUAACUGAAGAAAGAGACGAAAAAAAAGCAAGACAUCUGAAGUUCAAAAAAGCAAUGAGUGAUGAAUUUAAGCAUUGGAAAAAAGUACCACUGGGAAGAGUGGAAAUAGAUGAUAAGAUAUGCUUUAAAGAUGGAGAUGGUAACCGGCGGUACGGAAAUGUCACAACAAAAACAAAUGAAAAGUUCCAUCUAAAAGAUACAGAUACAGGGACGGAACAUGAAACUAGAUACGGACUCAUGGUCCCAUGCUUCAAACGUUUUCCCGAUCUAAAUUACGAGCAGGAUCCUUCAUUUGAACCGUUCAUAAAAUAAUUAAGCAUGCAGAACAGAAAAAGAAAACAUACGAACAAUGUUUAAUACUAGAGUAAUUGUAUUAUCAACAGACAAAAAAAUAUGAAUAUGUAAGAACAUUUAUUUCUCUGAACAUAAAUGAACAUUUAUUUUGAAAUAAAGAUGGACAACAACAUGA